ACCCGGCCCCGGUGGCCGUCCCCGUGUCCCUGUCCCCACCCAGGUGUCCCUGUGGGCACCACAGAGUGCUUUGGGUCGGAGCUCAGGGAUCAUCUGCUUCCCACCUUCUCCAGGUAGUUGAACUCCAUGGCGAUCUCCCGGAAGAAGAAGUAGACAUGGCUCCUCCAUUCCACGGCGUGCACGAAGGUCGGGCUGUCCCCGAGGCUGCGGUAGAUGACGGCGUCGAUGGCCAGGAAAUCCGUCACCGUGGCCGUGAAGAGCAUCCCCCCUGCGUGGGACAGGGUGUCAGCGGGGCUGGGGGACACAGUGCCCGCUGUGACAGUGGCAGUGCCACCACCGACCUGUGAACAGGGCCACGUUGGCGUGCUUGGGGUCGUAGGGACACCGGGCCAUGCCGCUGAUGUUGUCCCCGACGGGCUCCAGCGUGUCCAUCUAGAGAGGUUGGCGCAGACGGGGUUGAAGGCGUUGGUGCCACAGACGAAGAGGAGGCUCUCGUUCCUCACCAGCAGCACCUUGAUGAAAUUUCGGCACUCUGCCUGUGCCGGGAGAGGGGACCGUCACCCUCAGCACCCCAAAACCC
This is a long non-coding RNA of Poecile atricapillus (Black-capped chickadee), 580 nucleotides long. RefSeq lists it as uncharacterized. The transcript is spliced from 3 exons. NCBI's taxonomy places the organism in Eukaryota, Metazoa, Chordata, Aves, Passeriformes, Paridae. The record is from RefSeq and is a predicted model, not a curated record.